CCUACGGGAGGCAGCAGUAGGGAAUAUUGGGCAAUGGAGGAAACUCUGACCCAGCCAUGCCGCGUGCAGGAUGACGGCCCUCUGGGUUGUAAACUGCUUUUAUACGGGAAGAAAAAAUGCUACGUGUAGCACAUUGACGGUACCGUAAGAAUAAGGAUCGGCUAACUCCGUGCCAGCAGCCGCGGUAAUACGGAGGAUCCAAGCGUUGUCCGGAUUUAUUGGGUUUAAAGGGUGCGUAGGCGGAUCUUUAAGUCAGUGGUGAAAGCCUGCAGCUCAACUGUAGAACAGCCAUUGAAACUGAAGAUCUUGAAUAUGGUUAAAGUAGGCGGAAUGUAUCAUGUAGCGGUGAAAUGCUUAGAUAUGAUACAGAACACCGAUAGCGAAGGCAGCUUGCUGAACCAUUAUUGACGCUGAGGCACGAAAGCGUGGGGAGCAAACAGGAUUAGAUACCCUGGUAGUCCACGCCCUAAACGUUGAUUACUCGUUGUUGGCGAUAUACUGUCAGCGACUAAGCUAAAGCGUUAAGUAAUCCACCUGGGAAGUACGACCGCAAGGUUGAAACUCAAAGGAAUUGACGG
RNAcentral lists this ribosomal RNA (578 nucleotides) under uncultured bacterium. RNAcentral's name for it is "bacterial SSU rRNA". It matches the Rfam family "Bacterial small subunit ribosomal RNA", at positions 338 to 916 of the family's 1533-position model. The record is from RNAcentral.